This 67-nucleotide transfer RNA is filed under the name Dinoderus minutus. RNAcentral describes it as "tRNA-Ile". Lineage: Eukaryota; Metazoa; Arthropoda; Insecta; Coleoptera; Bostrichidae. The record is from RNAcentral.
UAUGAAGUGCCUGAUCAAAGGAAUAUUUUGAUAGAAUAGACAACAUGGACCCCCCCCAUCUUCAUAA